RNAcentral lists this long non-coding RNA (1097 nucleotides) under Equus asinus (donkey). Its description in RNAcentral is "lncRNA (ENSEASG00005025995.1)". The record is from RNAcentral. Lineage: Eukaryota; Metazoa; Chordata; Mammalia; Perissodactyla; Equidae.
GGCCGCAAAGGGGGCCGUCGGGUCCACGUGCUCUCACACCCAAAGGCCAGGGCGACCAAGUGCUGCAGCAGGUCAGACGCCAAAACCAAAGCCCCAGCGGGGUGAGAGGCCCAGGCAGAGACCGGCGGGACCCAGCAGCUGGCACCUGACCUGAGACAUAGCCCCCUACUCCUGCGCUUCUUGUCGAGGCUUCUUUGCAGGAAAACAUGAAGUUUGAGAGCAACAGAUGAACCCUCUGGUCUGAGAAUUUGCAACUCUAACAACUUCUUACAAUUCUAAUAAGUUCCCUGGUGAUGCUGCUGGAAUCACACUACGAGAGAGGCCAUAGGACGAAGAUUCUCAAACCUUAGCAGGCACCUGAAUCAUCUGGACGGCUCGUGAACACACAGGCUGCUCAGCCUCACUCCAGAGUAUCUGAUUCAGCAGGCUGGGGACAGGCUUAAGUUUUUGCAUUUCUAACCAGUUUCCAGGUGAUGCUGAUGUUGCUGACCAAUAUAAAACUGAACACAAAGAAGUUAAAAAAUCUUCCUGAGUGCAAAAAACUUUGAGAUAAGCGUUGCUAACUGCAGCUGUGCAUAUUCAGAAUAAUCAACUUUGUUUAAAACUAACCGGGUCUUUCUGUCCCUCCUUAGUAUAUGAGUGAGCUGUCUUUCCCAGGAAGUCAAGGUCCAGACGUCAAGAUUCAGCCUCACAAGGUCAAAUGCAGGCUGAAGAUGAAAACUAACCGGAAAAGUCCAGACAAGGGAAAAGAAAUUCAGUCUUCAAAGACAAACACAGGCUGGUGGGAAGGCGCCAACCAGCAUGGCCACGUGCUUCCCCUCCCCUACCUAAAACCCAAGCACAUGCUCCCCUCCCCUCCCUACAACCCCAGAUAAACACCCCUACCUUUUUCCCUUCGAGGAGGUGGAUCUGAGUUCUAACUCCCAUCUCCUUAUCUGGCUGCCUUUUGAUAUUAAACCUCUUUCCUUGCUUCAAGCCUGGUGUUUCAGAUUUUUUGCUUGAUUGGCCCUACUGUGUGGCAGGUGUGUUUGGGUCUGGUAGCAAAUACUUGCUGCCCAUCUUUACUCCCAACUUAGCUGGUUUCUACUGCAUCUCCA